RNAcentral lists this ribosomal RNA (496 nucleotides) under uncultured bacterium. RNAcentral's name for it is "partial 16S ribosomal RNA". It matches the Rfam family "Bacterial small subunit ribosomal RNA", at positions 29 to 507 of the family's 1533-position model. The record is from RNAcentral.
AUGAACGCUGGCGGCGUGCCUCAUACAUGCCAGUCGAGCGCACAGACGAGGAGCUUGCUCCUUCGACGUUAGCGGCGGACGGGUGAGUAACACGUAGGUAACCUACCUAUAAGACUGGGAUAACUUCGGGAAACCGGAGCUAAUACCGGAUAAUAUUUCGAACCGCAUGGUUCGAUAGUGAAAGAUGGCUUUGCUAUCACUUAUAGAUGGACCUGCGCCGUAUUAGCUAGUUGGUAAGGUAACGGCUUACCAAGGCAACGAUACGUAGCCGACCUGAGAGGGUGAUCGGCCACACUGGAACUGAGACACGGUCCAGACUCCUACGGGAGGCAGCAGUAGGGAAUCUUCCGCAAUGGGCGAAAGCCUGACGGAGCAACGCCGCGUGAGUGAUGAAGGUCUUCGGAUCGUAAAACUCUGUUAUUAGGGAAGAACAAACGUGUAAGUAACUGUGCACGUCUUGACGGUACCUAAUCAGAAAGCCACGGCUAACUACGUG